Long non-coding RNA from Zonotrichia albicollis (white-throated sparrow), 1578 nucleotides. NCBI's taxonomy places the organism in Eukaryota, Metazoa, Chordata, Aves, Passeriformes, Passerellidae. The record is from Ensembl.
CUUUCCCCACUCAAGACCUUCUCAGUGACCUACAUUGCACUGAUUUUAGGAUGCAUCUCUUUCUUUGUCUUUGCUGAGGAUGGAAUCGUCAGCUUGAAGGGCAUCUAAAGGAAGGUAUAUAAUCAAAACUCUUGAGUGUGCUGUAAAAGAACACUGUGGGAGAAAGUUACUCAAUAAGAGCAGUCUUUUGGAAUCUUGAAAGCCUGAUUUUCAGAAGCAGAGCUGGAGUCCUGCAUUGCCAUCACUCCUGUGCUGUUGAACGACCUCUUGGAUUUUCUUCACUGUAACAGAAGUCAUAACUUACUUGUAUGUGCCAUACUUACUUGCUACUGAUUGAUAUGGAGCUGUUAAGCAUAAUUUUACAUGGAAGAAAAUAUUGUACAUCAGAUUAAAAUUUGUCACUCUAGAUUCCAAUUUUGGAAAGAGAAGGGCAGACUUCUGAUAUUCCUGCUGCAAAUGCCAAGCCUGGCACCCUGUUCAGAGAUCUUUUACGAAGCAAUUCCCCCAAGAUGGCUGGGAGAUCCUUGGAGUAACUCAAGUGCCAAGGUUCCACAAUAGAAUGCUAGCUUCAGAACCCACACCAACCAGCAGCCAAUACCACCUCUGAAGGAAAUAUUACACCAUUCAAUAAUUACCCUGAGCUUGAGCCCAGAUGCCCUGAUCAGGAUUUGUACUGCAGAUAUGUAAAAGAAGAUCUCACACCUACCUCAGAAAUUUUUGAGGCUGAGAUUGCAAGGGAUUUAGAAAAGAAAGGAGAAAAUGAAAAUGGAACUCCUCUACAUGUACAAACAUAUUCUUAUAAAUGCCUGCUGCUUAGAAAUUUCCUUAAUUGGUUGAAUUCAUGUAAACAUCACACAGAACAAGUAUUCAAAACUUCAUUCAGAAAUACUGCACUGAUUUAGUAAAGGUGAAUUUCAAAAUAUUCAGUAUUCACUGUGGUUUAGAAAAGCCCUAAAGAAAUACAGAGAUUCUAUAAAAGCCACUGCAAAGGUCUCAAGUGACUUCUGCUAUCGGUGUGAACUGAAUACCUCCUGAAGACAACCUGCAGCACAGAAAAUACCAUCCUUCAUAAAGCAAGGCACAAAAACUGCAGCAAGGAAAAUCUUAAAAAUAUGAUGGGGCUACAACAUAUGUUCUUUUCACUGGGAUUCACAUGAUAUAACUACCAGUAUUUCACAAUGGAGAUGCUUUAGUUAUCAUAAACCACUUUGAAGUAGUUCACAGAAACCACUCAAAUCCUCAGCUAAUUGACAAUUUAAUCUGCACUUCACAGUCAGUGAUAUUUAAGACUAUGCAAUUUCCCACAUCCUCUGCUCCAUUACAAUUCUUCACAGAACCUGCUUUAAAAGCAUUGUCAAAAUGUCCAAAUGUUUUUUAAGCAGGCUACAGCUGUCUAUAUCCUUCAAAUAUAUAAUGGCUUUCCUUCUGAGGUCAGCCUGUAAAAGCCACAGGAUUUUGCAUCAACAAAGAAGUCUCAGCAGCAAUGCAAUCAUGUGGAUUAUAUGAAACUGGACCAUCUGAAGGGCUAACCAAAGCCCUGUAAAACUAAUAAAAAAUGGAUGUUGCUGAACUUUGGCA